CGGAGGACAUUAUCGAGUUUUGAAGUGGGCUUCUUGAUGCUGGCAUGCAGGUGCUCAGAGGUCCCGCUCUCAUCCACUCAACCCCUGUGCACACUUGAGAGCGAGGUCGGUCGUCGGCGCAAGCCUUCGACUUGCUUCGUUUCUUAUUACAAACACUUUUUAUUGUCUUGUCGAAUGCAAUGCCUCGUAGUGGGCGAAAUGUUAAUACAACUUUCAACAACGGAUCUCUUGGCUCUCGCAUCGAUGAAGAACGCAGCGAAAUGCGAUAAGUAAUGUGAAUUGCAGAAUUCAGUGAAUCAUCGAAUCUUUGAACGCACCUUGCGCUCCUUGGUAUUCCGAGGAGCAUGCCUGUUUGAGUGUCAUGUUCACCUCAAUCCCUCCGGUUUGUUAUGAAUCGGCUGGGCUUGGUCUUGGAGGUUUUUGCUGGCUUUGCGGUCGGCUCCUCUUGAAUGCAUUAGCUGGGCUUUCGCUCGAUGCAACAGUGUAAUAAUUAACUUCACUGGUGCGACUUGCGAUAUGGGCCCGCUUCUAAUCGUCCGUUUGGACACGUUAAGGAUUCGUCCUUUGACUCCUUUGACCUCAAAUCAGGUAGGACUACCCGCUGAACUUAAGCAUAUCAAAAAGGGGGAAGAAAU
This 635-nucleotide ribosomal RNA is filed under the name Phellinus viticola. Its description in RNAcentral is "eukaryotic LSU rRNA". The stretch from base 209 to 362 matches the Rfam family "5.8S ribosomal RNA". Lineage: Eukaryota; Fungi; Basidiomycota; Agaricomycetes; Hymenochaetales; Hymenochaetaceae. The record is from RNAcentral.